Molecule: long non-coding RNA, 793 nt
Organism: Oncorhynchus tshawytscha (Chinook salmon)
Lineage: Eukaryota; Metazoa; Chordata; Actinopteri; Salmoniformes; Salmonidae
Exons: 2
Source: RefSeq, a predicted model, not a curated record
AAAUCUAAAACAUGCUUCCUGUUUGCAAUACGGCACUAAAGUAAAAUUGCAAAAAAUGUGGCAAUUUUCUUUACUUUGUCCGGAAUACAAAGCGUUUUGUUUGGGGAAAAUCCAACACAACAUAUCACCGAGUACCACUCUUCAUAUACUGUAUAUACAACUUUUUUAAGUUUGACUUUUUUAGGUUACUGCAUCAUGUUAUGGCUAUGCUUGUCAUCAGCAAGGACUUGGGAGUUUUUUUUUAGGAUGAAAAGAAAUGGAAUAGAGCUAAGCACAGGCAAAAUCCUGGAGGAUUGAGUCAAUAACCUGGUUCAGUCUGCUUUCCACCAGACACUGGGAGAUGAAUUCAUCUUUCAGCAGGACAAUAACCUACAACACAUCCACACUGGAGGUGCUCACCAAGAUGACAUUGGGAAUGCAUCUGGGAGGCCCAGCUACAGGUUUUGAAUGCAUCUGGGAGGCCCAGCUACAGGUUUUGAAUGCAUCUGGGAGGCCCAGCUACAGGUUUUGAAUGCAUCUGGGAGGCCCAGCUACAGGUUUUGUCAUCAAUCGGCUUGAAAAUCUAAUGCAAGACUUGAAAAUGUCUGUCUAGCAACGAUCAACAACCAACUUGACAGAACAAAUAUUGUACAAUCCAAAGUGUGCAAAGCUCUUAGAGACUUCCCCAGACAGACUCACAGCUGUAAUCGCUGCCAAAUGUGCUUCUGCAAAGUAUUGACUCAGGGGGUGUGAAUACUUCAGAAAAUUAUAUAUUCCUGCAUUUAAUUUUCAAUAAACUUGCAAAAUGAUGUAA